This 440-nucleotide ribosomal RNA is filed under the name uncultured bacterium. Its description in RNAcentral is "partial 16S ribosomal RNA". It matches the Rfam family "Bacterial small subunit ribosomal RNA", at positions 338 to 795 of the family's 1533-position model. The record is from RNAcentral.
CCUACGGGAGGCAGCAGUGGGGGAUAUUGCACAAUGGGGGGAACCCUGAUGCAGCGACGCCGCGUGGGUGAAGAAGCGCCUCGGCGCGUAAAGCCCUGUCAGCAGGGAAGAAAAUGACGGUACCUGAAGAAGAAGCCCCGGCUAACUACGUGCCAGCAGCCGCGGUAAUACGUAGGGGGCAAGCGUUAUCCGGAUUUACUGGGUGUAAAGGGGGCGCAGACGGCGAUGCAAGCCAGGAGUGAAAGCCCGGGGCCCAACCCCGGGACUGCUCUUGGAACUGCGUGGCUGGAGUGCAGGAGGGGCAGGCGGAAUUCCUGGUGUAGCGGUGAAAUGCGUAGAUAUCAUACAGAACACCGAUUGCGAAGGCAGCUUACCAAGCUACUUCUGACGUUGAGGCACGAAAGCGUGGGGAGCAAACAGGAUUAGAUACCCCGGUAGUC